RNAcentral lists this ribosomal RNA (116 nucleotides) under Pteropus alecto (black flying fox). Lineage: Eukaryota; Metazoa; Chordata; Mammalia; Chiroptera; Pteropodidae. The record is from RNAcentral.
GUCUACGGCCAUGCCACCCUGAACGUGCCCGAUCUCGUCUGAUCGGAAGCUAAGCAGGACUGGGCCUGGUGAGUACUUGGAUGGGAGACCACCUAGGAAUCCAGGUGCUGUAGGCA